CGUGAAGCUGGAUUCGCUAGUAAUCGCGCAUCAGCCAUGGCGCGGUGAAUACGUUCCCGGGCCUUGUACACACCGCCCGUCAAGCCAUGGGAGCCGGGGGGUGCCUGAAGUGCGCUGCCGCAAGGAGCGCCCUAGGGUAAAACCGGUGACUGGGGCUAAGUCGUAACAAGGUAUC
RNAcentral lists this ribosomal RNA (175 nucleotides) under uncultured bacterium. Its description in RNAcentral is "partial 16S ribosomal RNA". It matches the Rfam family "Bacterial small subunit ribosomal RNA", at positions 1319 to 1500 of the family's 1533-position model. The record is from RNAcentral.